UACGAAGGGUGCAAGCGUUACUCGGAAUUACUGGGCGUAAAGCGUGCGUAGGUGGUUCGUUAAGUCUGAUGUGAAGGCCCUGGGCUCAACCUGGGAAUGGCAUUGGAAACUGGCGACCUAGAGUGCGGUAGAGGGUAGUGGAAUUCCCGGUGUAGCAGUGAAAUGCGUAGAGAUCGGGAGGAACAUCUGUGGCGAAGGCGACUGCCUGGACCAGCACUGACACUGAGGCACGAAAGCGUGGGGAGCAAACAGG
RNAcentral lists this ribosomal RNA (253 nucleotides) under uncultured bacterium. RNAcentral describes it as "partial 16S ribosomal RNA". It matches the Rfam family "Bacterial small subunit ribosomal RNA", at positions 524 to 776 of the family's 1533-position model. The record is from RNAcentral.